Molecule: ribosomal RNA, 253 nt
Filed under: uncultured bacterium
Lineage: Bacteria
Description: partial 16S ribosomal RNA
Rfam family: Bacterial small subunit ribosomal RNA
Source: RNAcentral
UACGUAGGGUGCGAGCGUUGUCCGGAAUUACUGGGCGUAAAGAGCUCGUAGGUGGUUUGUCGCGUUGUCCGUGAAAACUCACAGCUCAACUGUGGGCGUGCGGGCGAUACGGGCAGACUGGAGUACUGCAGGGGAGACUGGAAUUCCUGGUGUAGCGGUGGAAUGCGCAGAUAUCAGGAGGAACACCGGUGGCGAAGGCGGGUCUCUGGGCAGUAACUGACGCUGAGACGCGAAAGCGUGGGGAGCGAACAGG